RNAcentral lists this ribosomal RNA (25 nucleotides) under Isospora manorinae. RNAcentral describes it as "large subunit ribosomal RNA". The record is from RNAcentral. Lineage: Eukaryota; Apicomplexa; Conoidasida; Eucoccidiorida; Eimeriidae.
CUUCGUUCUUAAGUUCUACAACCAA